RNAcentral lists this transfer RNA (68 nucleotides) under Camelus bactrianus (Bactrian camel). It matches the Rfam family "tRNA". From Rfam's summary of the family: Transfer RNA (tRNA) molecules are approximately 80 nucleotides in length. Their secondary structure includes four short double-helical elements and three loops (D, anti-codon, and T loops). Further hydrogen bonds mediate the characteristic L-shaped molecular structure. tRNAs have two regions of fundamental functional importance: the anti-codon, which is responsible for specific mRNA codon recognition, and the 3' end, to which the tRNAs corresponding amino acid is attached (by aminoacyl-tRNA synthetases). tRNAs cope with the degeneracy of the genetic code in two manners: having more than one tRNA (with a specific anti-codon) for a particular amino acid; and 'wobble' base-pairing, i.e. permitting non-standard base-pairing at the 3rd anti-codon position. The record is from Rfam by way of RNAcentral. Lineage: Eukaryota; Metazoa; Chordata; Mammalia; Artiodactyla; Camelidae. RNAcentral also lists the same sequence under 1 other name.
GGGGGUAUGGUGAGUAUAGCGCAUGCCUAGCACGCACGAAGUCCUGGGUUCAAUUCCCAGUACCUCCA